GAUGAAGAACGUAGCAAAAUGCGAUAAGUAAUGCGAAUUGCAGAAUCCGUGAGUCAUCGAAUCUUUGAACGCACAUUGCGCCCUCUGGUAUUCCGGAGGGCAUGCCUGUUCGAGCGUCAUUAUCACCCCUCAAGCCCGGCUUGUUGUUGGAUGCAGCGCUUAUCCCGCUCCUCCCAAAGAUAAUGACGGCGUCUGCGACGACUCCUGUACACUGAGCUUUCGGGCACGUACACGGCUAGAAGUCCAGACCCGGUCGCCGUCCCCCCCGCGGGGACACCCAUUACCACAAGGUUGACCUCGGAUCAGGUAGGAAUACCCGCUGAACUUAAGCAUAUCAAUAAGCGGAGGA
This 349-nucleotide unclassified non-coding RNA is filed under the name soil metagenome. RNAcentral's name for it is "partial contains 5.8S ribosomal RNA, internal transcribed spacer 2, and large subunit ribosomal RNA". The stretch from base 1 to 119 matches the Rfam family "5.8S ribosomal RNA", at positions 35 to 154 of the family's 154-position model. The record is from RNAcentral.